RNAcentral lists this ribosomal RNA (549 nucleotides) under Escherichia coli. Its description in RNAcentral is "partial 23S ribosomal RNA". It matches the Rfam family "Bacterial large subunit ribosomal RNA", at positions 1 to 589 of the family's 2925-position model. The record is from RNAcentral. Lineage: Bacteria; Pseudomonadati; Pseudomonadota; Gammaproteobacteria; Enterobacterales; Enterobacteriaceae.
GGUUAAGCGACUAAGCGUACACGGUGGAUGCCCUGGCAGUCAGAGGCGAUGAAGGACGUGCUAAUCUGCGAUAAGCGUCGGUAAGGUGAUAUGAACCGUUAUAACCGGCGAUUUCCGAAUGGGGAAACCCAGUGUGUUUCGACACACUAUCAUUAACUGAAUCCAUAGGUUAAUGAGGCGAACCGGGGGAACUGAAACAUCUAAGUACCCCGAGGAAAAGAAAUCAACCGAGAUUCCCCCAGUAGCGGCGAGCGAACGGGGAGCAGCCCAGAGCCUGAAUCAGUGUGUGUGUUAGUGGAAGCGUCUGGAAAGGCGCGCGAUACAGGGUGACAGCCCCGUACACAAAAAUACACAUACUGUGAGCUCGAUGAGUAGGGCGGGACACGUGGUAUCCUGUCUGAAUAUGGGGGGACCAUCCUCCAAGGCUAAAUACUCCUGACUGACCGAUAGUGAACCAGUACCGUGAGGGAAAGGCGAAAAGAACCCCGGCGAGGGGAGUGAAAAAGAACCUGAAACCGUGUACGUACAAGCAGUGGGAGCACGCUUAGG